AUGGCUCAGGAGGGGACACAACCUAUANUNUGCUUCCCGGAUGUUAGCGGCGGACGGGUGAGUAACACGUGGGUAACCUGCCUGUAAGACUGGGAUAACUCCGGGAAACCGGAGCUAAUACCGGAUAGUUCCUUGAACCGCAUGGUUCAAGGAUGAAAGACGGUUUCGGCUGUCACUUACAGAUGGACCCGCGGCGCAUUAGCUAGUUGGUGGGGUAAUGGCUCACCAAGGCGACGAUGCGUAGCCGACCUGAGAGGGUGAUCGGCCACACUGGGACUGAGACACGGCCCAGACUCCUACGGGAGGCAGCAGUAGGGAAUCUUCCGCAAUGGACGAAAGUCUGACGGAGCAACGCCGCGUGAGUGAUGAAGGUUUUCGGAUCGUAAAGCUCUGUUGUUAGGGAAGAACAAGUGCGAGAGUAACUGCUCGCACCUUGACGGUACCUAACCAGAAAGCCACGGCUAACUACGUGCCAGCAGCCCGCGGUAAUACGUAGGUGGCAAGCGUUGUCCGGAAUUAUUGGGCGUAAAGGGCUCGCAGGCGGUUUCUUAAAGUCUGAUGUGAAAGCCCCCGGCUCACCCGGCGGAGGGGGCAUUG
Molecule: ribosomal RNA, 597 nt
Filed under: Bacillus zhangzhouensis
Lineage: Bacteria; Bacillati; Bacillota; Bacilli; Caryophanales; Bacillaceae
Description: bacterial SSU rRNA
Rfam family: Bacterial small subunit ribosomal RNA
Source: RNAcentral